RNAcentral lists this ribosomal RNA (273 nucleotides) under uncultured bacterium. RNAcentral's name for it is "partial 16S ribosomal RNA". It matches the Rfam family "Bacterial small subunit ribosomal RNA", at positions 85 to 354 of the family's 1533-position model. The record is from RNAcentral.
CCGCCGGCGACCGGCGCACGGGUGAGUAACACGUAUGCAACCUGGCCGUGACAGAUGGAUAACCGGGAGAAAUCCCGCCUAAUACAACAUAAUGCCGGGAGGGGACAUCCCCUGCCGGCCAAAGGGGGCGACCCCGGUCACGGAUGGGCAUGCGGCGCAUUAGGUAGUUGGUGGGGCAACGGCCCACCAAGCCGACGAUGCGUAGGGGUUCUGAGAGGAAGGUCCCCCACAUUGGAACUGAGACGCGGUCCAAACUCCUACGGGAGGCAGCAG